RNAcentral lists this ribosomal RNA (253 nucleotides) under uncultured bacterium. RNAcentral describes it as "partial 16S ribosomal RNA". It matches the Rfam family "Bacterial small subunit ribosomal RNA", at positions 524 to 776 of the family's 1533-position model. The record is from RNAcentral.
UACGUAGGGGGCAAGCGUUGUCCGGAAUUAUUGGGCGUAAAGAGCGCGUAGGCGGUCCGAUAAGUCGGCUGUGAAAGUCAGGGGCUCAACCCUUGAAAGCCGGCCGAUACUGUCGGACUAGAGUUCGGAAGAGGCGAGUGGAAUUCCCGGUGUAGCGGUGAAAUGCGCAGAUAUCGGGAGGAACACCUAUGGCGAAGGCAGCUCGCUGGGACGUUACUGACGCUGAGACGCGAAAGCGUGGGGAGCAAACAGG